GGUGGCUCAGCCUAUCGGGCUCAAUUUCUUGGUUUGGUUGACAUGGAGAUACCCCUAAUGGUGUGGAAGAAUAGGGCACCACCUAAAUGCAAAUUCUUUGCUUAGCUGGUCAUCAAUAAUAGGAUUUGGACAGCUAAUCGGCUUCAGCGAUGGGGAUGGCCUAUAUGCAAUCUUUGCUCUAUCUGCAAACAAGUAUAGGAGUCAGCGACUCAUCUUCUUUUCCAGUGCUACUACACAAUCUGGGAGAUGAUUAAGUCUUGGCUUGGACUAGUGGAUGUGCAUCCUUCAGGCUGGGUGGUGUUGAAUUCUGUCAAAGAUUGGUGGAGUCUUAAUGCUUGUAGCUUUUCGCAGUCCUGACAGGUGCUCAUCUCCCUAAUGAUCCUCAUCUCGUGGGAGAUAUGGAACGAGCGAAAUGCUCACAUUUUCUGCAACAAAGCGGUGCCGGUGGGUGUCAUCGUGGCAAAAGUCAAAGAGAUAGCUUCGCUUUGGUGCCUCAUGGGGACCAAAUUUUUGUGUAAUGUUAUGCCGUGA
RNAcentral lists this ribosomal RNA (531 nucleotides) under Triticum aestivum (bread wheat). RNAcentral's name for it is "partial small subunit ribosomal RNA". Lineage: Eukaryota; Viridiplantae; Streptophyta; Magnoliopsida; Poales; Poaceae. The record is from RNAcentral.